CACAAAAGUGCCAUGACAGCAAAUUGAUGCGUAUGCUGAUAGGGACCAAAUCUUGAAGCACUUACACCCAUUGAAAGCAUCCAGAUUACCGCUCCUGUCACUAUAGGAUCAGCUAUGUCUAGGGGAGCAACAGAGGUGUGACAAAUAAAGCUGUGACUACAUGGAUCCACUGUGUAAAAAACUACAUGCAUAGAAG
Mauremys mutica (yellowpond turtle) is the source of this 196-nucleotide long non-coding RNA. RefSeq lists it as uncharacterized. NCBI's taxonomy places the organism in Eukaryota, Metazoa, Chordata, Testudines, Geoemydidae. The transcript has 3 exons. The record is from RefSeq and is a predicted model, not a curated record.